CGAUUUCCCCAAAUGUGGGAAACUCGACUGCAUAAUUUGUGGUAGUGAGGGACUGCGUUCGCGCUUUCCCCUG
Molecule: small nuclear RNA, 73 nt
Filed under: Ursus thibetanus thibetanus
Lineage: Eukaryota; Metazoa; Chordata; Mammalia; Carnivora; Ursidae
Description: U1 spliceosomal RNA (ENSUTTG00000011450.1)
Rfam family: U1 spliceosomal RNA
About the family: U1 is a small nuclear RNA (snRNA) component of the spliceosome (involved in pre-mRNA splicing). Its 5' end forms complementary base pairs with the 5' splice junction, thus defining the 5' donor site of an intron. There are significant differences in sequence and secondary structure between metazoan and yeast U1 snRNAs, the latter being much longer (568 nucleotides as compared to 164 nucleotides in human).
Source: RNAcentral